AAGACCUUGCGCUUUUGGAGCGGCCGAUGUCUGAUUAGCUUGUUGGUGAGGUAAAAGCUUACCAAGGCUUCGAUCAGUAGCUGGUCUGAGAGGACGGCCAGCCACACUGGGACUGAGACACGGCCCAGACUCCUACGGGAGGCAGCAGUGGGGAAUUUUGGACAAUGGGGGCAACCCUGAUCCAGCCAUGCCGCGUGAGUGAAGAAGGCCUUCGGGUUGUAAAGCUCUUUCAGCCGGAACGAAACGGUUACGGUUAAUACCCGUGAUUACUGACGGUACCGGAAGAAGAAGCACCGGCUAACUACGUGCCAGCAGCCGCGGUAAUACGUAGGGUGCAAGCGUUAAUCGGAAUUACUGGGCGUAAAGCGUGCGCAGGUGGUUUUGUAAGUCAGAUGUGAAAUCCCCGGGCUUAACCUGGGAACU
RNAcentral lists this ribosomal RNA (423 nucleotides) under uncultured bacterium. Its description in RNAcentral is "bacterial SSU rRNA". It matches the Rfam family "Bacterial small subunit ribosomal RNA", at positions 207 to 622 of the family's 1533-position model. The record is from RNAcentral.